RNAcentral lists this ribosomal RNA (127 nucleotides) under Clostridium novyi B str. ATCC 27606. Its description in RNAcentral is "partial 16S ribosomal RNA". The stretch from base 1 to 112 matches the Rfam family "Bacterial small subunit ribosomal RNA", at positions 1422 to 1533 of the family's 1533-position model. The record is from RNAcentral. Lineage: Bacteria; Bacillati; Bacillota; Clostridia; Eubacteriales; Clostridiaceae.
CGAAGCCCGUGAGGUAACCGUAAGGAGCCAGCGGUCGAAGGUGGGAUUGGUGAUUGGGGUGAAGUCGUAACAAGGUAGCCGUAGGAGAACCUGCGGCUGGAUCACCUCCUUUCUAGGGAGAAUGGAA